CCUCUCAGCGCCAAACCCUAGCUCGCCCUCCUCCUCCUUCCUCACGCCGCCGCCACUCCCUUUCUCUUCUUCCUCCACCUUCGUUCCCUCUACGAAAGGAAACAGAGACAUAGACAUAAGAAAACCCCACUGGCACCACCGUCCUCACCAUGGCGUCAUCGCUGUAGACCAUCCCUAGUCGACCCGAGAUCACCAGUAGAACCGCCUCGAUCUCCUCCAUCUCCUGCUGCAAGGAAUCGAACCAGGAAGCCCUCAAUCAAGCACAAGGUCGCCGAUUCCCCGCGCAGACUGUCACCUUUCUUCUCCAAUCCCGGCCGGUCCGGACCUCCCCUGGCUUCCCCGACCUCUCCAUUAGCUUCACGGAACACGUCGCCGACGAUGCUCCGGUGGGUUUCCGGCACCACGACGACCACCAUCAUGUUCACCGCGCCGAGGCGUACCUCCGACGCCUUCUCGUCCUUCCCAAUUCGCCCGGAAGCUCCAGAUCUGUCUUCGAUUAGAUCUCUCCACCAUGGCUGCAAUUUGCAAGUUCGUCUCUGCCUUCCGCGUGCUCUUCUUGACGCGCACCAGCAUCUCGACAUCAAUAGUAGAUCUUCCGCACAUGGGCCUCAGCCCACGCGCGCGUCAGCUUCUUCGUCGCCCAGCGUGCAGCAUCCUGCUAUCCGUCGCCGUUUCGGCCAGGAUCGCGAAGUGGUGUUGUGAGGUACGGCAAGAUCUCCGGGUGUCCCUCGACAAGCUUUAACAGGCAAGCAUUUCCUCUAUACUCCUGUCCCUGCAGGAGUCGCUCACCUAUUUUAUUUUGCCUUCUCCCUCAUGCUAUCCUUAAGUUGCGUUCUUGUCACGUGUCCUUUCCACUUGUUACCUCAAGCAGCCCAUAUUGCCACCACCACCUCCUACGGCUAUUGUUUGGUUAUCGAGUCUGCCUUGCGAGUCGUAGUGCAUGCUAGUGCUGUUUUAUCUCGUUACUGUUGUUGUUAUCUUAUCGGGUUAUAUGUUGGGAAUAAUCAUGGUUACUUUAGUUGUUGACAUUUGUUUAGCGGAGGCAUCGGUGGGUCAGCUGCUCGUUUUGUGACGGCUCACUUGUGUUUCCUUAAUAUCUUAGGACCCCGAGUUCUUGUUAUCUGUUCCGAGACUGAGCGCUCUAACCACACGUGGGUAUGUUUACCGGGUCUUCCCUCGACCACUGCCGGAAUCUACAGCCUUGUCCAGUGGCCACAAUUAGUUUGGAUGUCUGUUUGUUUCUCCCGGGCGUGCAAGCAUGUUUCUUUGUGGUCAGAUGAUAUGAUGUUACUUUUGGGGAAGCUAUGUGCCUUGUAACCCCGUUGUCUCUUGCACGCUCGUAGGUUGCGGAGCCGCUGCGAAGUGGUCAUCCCGCUGGGCACUGAUCACCUAGUACGCUGACGCAAUAGCUGAGUCCGCUUCGGAGCACGGCCGGACUCUGAAACGGGUUAAACUUAGUUAGGUGGCUUCCUGGACAUUGUUGUAGUGAAGGAGAGUGCGUGUCGUGAUAUCCACCUGUCGUAAGUGGGUUGAUCGUGCGUGUGGGCACAUUUGGGCACCCCUGCAGGGUUACAAUCUUAUCGAUAAGCCGCGUCCGCGGUUAUGGACGACUUGGAGCUGUAUGACUCGAUCAUAGACAACUUGCACCUGUUGUUUCAAUCAUAAUAACUUGUGUAGUAAGUUAGCACAACUUCAAUAAUAAAUGGUUAAAACUUGACAACCGUGUGAGUGCCUUUGUAAGUAUUUCUUUGCGAAGGGGGAAAGCAUCGGCUGUGUUAUGCUUGCAGAGUAUAGAACUGUUAGUUGUUCGCUCUCUCAUCUCCUCUGAUUAGACGAAUGUUGUAGAGUGUCUCUAUAGGUUUUUAGUGCUUGCGCGCUGCCGCUUAACCCCACCAUAUUGCCUAUGACGUUCCUCUUGCGUCCUCUAAGUCCCCUGCGUGCCUCAAGUACAAAGGACGACUAGUUGACGAAUGCUUAUACGUCUUGAAGUCUUGUUAAGUACGAACCCGUACUUAUUGCUGCUUCUACGGGAUAUAACCGGGCAGGUAUGAAGAUAUGUUCAAUGAAGAUGACGUUAGCAAGGUUACCCUUCCGGCUUGGCCUGGGCAGGGUUAUGGACGCCAAUGGUUAUCUUCAGGACUCUUAGUCCAACUUGUAUCUUGUCCGUACUCGGACGUAUUCUAUCUUCUGUAUGAUUUGGAUCUUUGUAUUGUAUAUUUGUAUCUUGACUCGUUGGAGUCGUUGUUGUAAUAUAUGUAUCUUGUGGGCUAUAUUGUAAACCUGUUGUAAUGUUA
Non-coding RNA from Lolium perenne, 2294 nucleotides. Lineage: Eukaryota; Viridiplantae; Streptophyta; Magnoliopsida; Poales; Poaceae. The record is from RefSeq and is a predicted model, not a curated record.